AUUGAACGCUGGCGGCAUGCCUAACACAUGCAAGUCGAACGGUAACAGGCCCCUUCGGGGUGCUGACGAGUGGCGGAUGGGCGAGUAAUACUUAGGAAUCUACCCUGUAGUGGGGGACGAACCCGGGAAACCGUACGGCGUAAUACCGCACACGCUCUACGGAGGAAAGACGGGGGCCGCAAGGCCUCGCGCUAUUGGAUGAGCCUAA
RNAcentral lists this ribosomal RNA (208 nucleotides) under uncultured bacterium. Its description in RNAcentral is "partial 16S ribosomal RNA". It matches the Rfam family "Bacterial small subunit ribosomal RNA", at positions 30 to 234 of the family's 1533-position model. The record is from RNAcentral.